RNAcentral lists this ribosomal RNA (255 nucleotides) under uncultured bacterium. Its description in RNAcentral is "partial 16S ribosomal RNA". It matches the Rfam family "Bacterial small subunit ribosomal RNA", at positions 74 to 334 of the family's 1533-position model. The record is from RNAcentral.
CAAACCAAAGCUGGCGACCGGCGCACGGGUGAGUAACACGUAUCCAACCUGCCUCAUACUCGGGGAUAGCCUUUCGAAAGAAAGAUUAAUAUCCGAUAGCAUAUAUUUCCCGCAUGGGUUUUAUAUUAAAGAAAUUCGGUAUGCGAUGGGGAUGCGUUCCAUUAGUUUGUUGGGGGGUAACGGGCCCACCAAGACUACGAUGGAUAGGGGUUCUGAGAGGAAGGUCCCCCACAUUGGAACUGAGACACGGUCCAA